Molecule: long non-coding RNA, 521 nt
Filed under: Pan troglodytes (chimpanzee)
Lineage: Eukaryota; Metazoa; Chordata; Mammalia; Primates; Hominidae
Description: lncRNA (ENSPTRG00000053162.1)
Source: RNAcentral
GGACCUGUUUGACAGCAUUCUACACUUCUGAUGACAUAAUCAUCACUAUAGAAGAAAAAAAUAGUUGCCUUUUUGGAACAAGAUGAGAGCAUACAGGAUGAGAAGUUCGUCACCCUGGUCUGAAUAAUUUCCAGCCUCACUGAAAGAUUCAUAUGAAUAAAUUGUUUUGAUGGCAAUACGCAAUGGAUCAGACUUAUUUACGUUGCACGUGCAGAUACUGAGUGUCUAAUUCUGGCUGAAACCAUUGUGUCUGGAGAGGAAAGCCACCUUGAAUUCACACGGCUACUAGGGUCCAUUCUGGAAUACACAGGGAAUAAUGUGAUGAUUUAUAUGCAAAGCACUGCAAGCUUGCCUAGAGCAGUCCAGCAAAUGCCAAGUGUUUACUAAGAGGAUACCAUGUUCCUGAAUCUCGACAGAAAACAGCAUUAUAGAAUGAGGCUGUACCUGCGGCCAUUUUGCUAUUGAAACUUAUAGAAAUGUUUUUUGCAGUUUCUUUACAUGCUACUAAUAGUCAAAUACAG